This 497-nucleotide ribosomal RNA is filed under the name uncultured bacterium. Its description in RNAcentral is "partial 16S ribosomal RNA". It matches the Rfam family "Bacterial small subunit ribosomal RNA", at positions 28 to 507 of the family's 1533-position model. The record is from RNAcentral.
GAUGAACGCUGGCGGCGUGCCUAAUACAUGCAAGUCGAGCGAACAGAUGAGGAGCUUGCUUCUCUGACGUUAGCGGCGGAAGGGUGAGUAACACGUGGAUAACCUACCUAUAAGACUGGGAUCACUUCGGGAAACCGGAGCUCAUAUCGGCUAAUAUAUUGAACCGCAUGGUUCAAUAGUGAAAGUCGGUUUUGCUGUCACUUAUAGAUGGAUCCGCGCCGCAUUAGCUAGUUGGUAAGGUAACGGCUUACCAAGGCAACGAUGCGUAGCCGACCUGAGAGGAUGAUCGGCCACACUGGAACUGAGACACGGUCCAGACUCCUACGGGAGGCAGCAGUAGGGAAUCUUCCGCAAUGGGCGAAAGCCUGACGGAGCAACGCCGCGUGAGUGAUGAAGGUCUUCGGAUCGUAAAACUCUGUUAUUAGGGAAGAACAAAUGUGUAAGUAACUAUGCACGUCUUGACGGUACCUAAACAGAAAGCCACGGCUAACUACGUG